This 253-nucleotide ribosomal RNA is filed under the name uncultured bacterium. Its description in RNAcentral is "partial 16S ribosomal RNA". It matches the Rfam family "Bacterial small subunit ribosomal RNA", at positions 524 to 776 of the family's 1533-position model. The record is from RNAcentral.
UACGUAGGGGGCAAGCGUUAUCCGGAUUUACUGGGUGUAAAGGGAGCGUAGACGGCAAUGCAAGUCUGGAGUGAAAGGCGGGGGCCCAACCCCCGGACUGCUCUGGAAACUGUAUAGCUGGAGUGCAGGAGAGGUAAGUGGAAUUCCUAGUGUAGCGGUGAAAUGCGUAGAUAUUAGGAGGAACACCAGUGGCGAAGGCGGCUUACUGGACUGUAACUGGCGUUGAGGCUCGAAAGCGUGGGGAGCAAACAGG